GCACUAUGUGGCGAAAUGGUAACGCGGUCUCCCCCUUUACAUAAAAGGGUAUAGAUAUAUCGAGGGUUCGACCCCCUCCAUAGUGCA
This 87-nucleotide transfer RNA is filed under the name Avibacterium paragallinarum. RNAcentral describes it as "tRNA-Cys". It matches the Rfam family "tRNA". Rfam says of the family: Transfer RNA (tRNA) molecules are approximately 80 nucleotides in length. The record is from RNAcentral. Lineage: Bacteria; Pseudomonadati; Pseudomonadota; Gammaproteobacteria; Pasteurellales; Pasteurellaceae.